UACAGAGGGGGCUGGCGUUAUUCGGAAUUAUUGGGCGUAAAGGGCGCGUAGGCGGCCAUGCGUGUCUUCCGUGAAAUCCCUCGGCUUAACUGAGGACGUGCGGAAGAAACUGCAAGGCUCGAGUCCGGGAGAGGGGGGUGGAAUUCCCAGUGUAGCGGUGAAAUGCGUAGAUAUUGGGAGGAACACCGGUGGCGAAGGCGGCCCCCUGGACCGGAACUGACGCUGAGGCGCGAAAGCGUGGGGAGCAAACAGG
This 253-nucleotide ribosomal RNA is filed under the name uncultured bacterium. Its description in RNAcentral is "partial 16S ribosomal RNA". It matches the Rfam family "Bacterial small subunit ribosomal RNA", at positions 524 to 776 of the family's 1533-position model. The record is from RNAcentral.